RNAcentral lists this ribosomal RNA (253 nucleotides) under uncultured bacterium. RNAcentral's name for it is "partial 16S ribosomal RNA". It matches the Rfam family "Bacterial small subunit ribosomal RNA", at positions 524 to 776 of the family's 1533-position model. The record is from RNAcentral.
UACGGAGGGUGCAAACGUUGCUCGGAAUCAUUGGGCGUAAAGCGCACGUAGGCGGACUGUUAAGUCGGAUGUGAAAUCCCUCAGCUUAACUGAGGAAGUGCACUCGAAACUGGCAGUCUUGAGUAUGGAAGAGGGUCGCGGAAUUCCCGGUGUAGAGGUGAAAUUCGUAGAUAUCGGGAGGAACACCAGUGGCGAAGGCGGCGACCUGGGCCAAUACUGACGCUGAGGCGCGAAAGCGUGGGGAGCAAACGGG